This is a long non-coding RNA of Hydra vulgaris (swiftwater hydra), 688 nucleotides long. RefSeq lists it as uncharacterized. NCBI's taxonomy places the organism in Eukaryota, Metazoa, Cnidaria, Hydrozoa, Anthoathecata, Hydridae. The record is from RefSeq and is a predicted model, not a curated record.
GUUAGACUUCAAAGCGUUUUUAAGAUUUACUUCCUUACAACAACUGAAAGCAAAACGACUGAUAAAUAAAUAAUAAAAGAGUGUCGGGUGCGCCAUUUUAAUUCAUCAUAGUUAAGACGCUCUUAUCGCAAGAACCUACCUUUUUAAAUGCCAACAAAUCAAUGGACUCUGACGUUUUAGAAAUUAUUGACGGCGACAUUGAUACAGUUAAAAAAUAUGAGUUCCUAGUCUCUCGUUAUAAAAGUCCUUCUCCAAGAAAUUUUUUCAUAAGUUUUAUAAACAGUUUAAUUUCAUUUUGUAAACGCUAGUAUGAUUGUGUAACAGUAGGUGUUUACCUUUGCAAUAAUCGAGAGGUUUAAUAACUGAAUAUAUUAUUUUUAUUUUAGAUAUUUAGUUUAUACUUGCUAAAGAAAAUUGGUGGAACAGAGUCGCAACGUUACUAAUUUUUUAAUGUCAAAAGUAAACAUCCAUGUUUACUUUUACAGGAAAUUUCGGAAACUUUCAUUCAGUUACGAAAUCAGACGAUCAGGACACGAAUGAAGGAGAAUAUGUUGCACAUACAGGUACAAGCGGUAGAAGGUAUUCUCGGAAAAUUUUUUAAAAUGUAUAAACCAGAGAAAACACUACAAAAAGCUUGAAUAUUUAAUUUUUUUUAAUUAUUGGAACAUAAACAAGUAUAGUACACAAA